Long non-coding RNA from Manis pentadactyla (Chinese pangolin), 395 nucleotides. RefSeq lists it as uncharacterized. The record is from RefSeq and is a predicted model, not a curated record. The transcript has 4 exons. Lineage: Eukaryota; Metazoa; Chordata; Mammalia; Pholidota; Manidae.
GGACGCGGGCCUGGCUGUCCCCAGAGUCACAGCACCCGGGGCCUUGGGAGCCGCGGAGCGGGGGCGGAGUUGAGGGUCCUUGUGGACCGGGGAGAUGGCGGUACCUCUCCGCCCGUGUGACUGCCAGCAUGUGUCUCCACAGCGCCACGGGCUCCUGGGGACGGUCCCCACUGUCACAGCACAGACGAUAGGUAGAUGAUGGACAGAUGCCAGGAGCACCCCUCUGGUUUAUGGACCCCGACACUGUCCCACAUGAAUACAAGCGUUCACAGCGCUAUCAUCCCCCCGGGAAAAUCCAUGAUGUCCCCUAGCCCAGCGCUGCUCCCUGCACGCUGUAUGCUUUGGGGUAACCCGAUCCUGGAGAGGUUUGUCUUUGAGGUUCUGGGGGCCCGGCA